UUUUCUAGAAAGGGAAAAAAUAAAAGUCAAAUGAGGCCAAGGGUCAUAAGUGAGAGGCAACAGCAAUGUUCCCUUGAUAAAAUGACCGAUCCCUCCUGUCACUAUCCAUUGAAGACAUGGAAAGGCGAAGUUGUA
Molecule: long non-coding RNA, 135 nt
Organism: Hibiscus syriacus
Lineage: Eukaryota; Viridiplantae; Streptophyta; Magnoliopsida; Malvales; Malvaceae
Exons: 3
Source: RefSeq, a predicted model, not a curated record